GAUGAACGCUAGCGGCAGGCUUAAUACAUGCAAGUCGAGGGGCAGCAUGGUGUAGCAAUACACUGAUGGCGACCGGCAAACGGGUGCGGAACACGUACAGAACCUUCCUUCGAGCGGGGAAUAGCCCAGAGAAAUUUGGAUUAAUACCCCAUAGUAUUAUGGAUUGGCAUCACUUUGUAAUUAAAGAUUUAUCACUUGAAGAUGGCUGUGCGGCUGAUUGGGUAGUUGGCGGGGUAACGGCCCACCAAGCCUGCGAUCAGUAACUGGUGUGAGAGCACGACCAGUCACACGGGCACUGAGACACGGGCCCGACUCCUACGGGAGGCAGCAGUAAGGAAUAUUGGUCAAUGGACGAAAGUCUGAACCAGCCAUGCCGCGUGGAGGAUGAAGGUCCUCUGGAUUGUAAACUUCUUUUAUAUGGGACGAAAAAGGCCUUUCUAGGUCGUCUGACGGUACCAUAUGAAUAAGCACCGGCUAACUCCGUGCCAGCAGCCGCGGUAAUC
This 503-nucleotide ribosomal RNA is filed under the name uncultured bacterium. RNAcentral's name for it is "bacterial SSU rRNA". It matches the Rfam family "Bacterial small subunit ribosomal RNA", at positions 28 to 525 of the family's 1533-position model. The record is from RNAcentral.